RNAcentral lists this transfer RNA (90 nucleotides) under Acidocella sp. RNAcentral's name for it is "tRNA-Ser". It matches the Rfam family "tRNA". From Rfam's summary of the family: Transfer RNA (tRNA) molecules are approximately 80 nucleotides in length. Their secondary structure includes four short double-helical elements and three loops (D, anti-codon, and T loops). Lineage: Bacteria; Pseudomonadati; Pseudomonadota; Alphaproteobacteria; Acetobacterales; Acidocellaceae. The record is from RNAcentral. RNAcentral also lists the same sequence under 6 other names.
GGAGAGGUGCCAGAGUGGCCGAUUGGGACAGUCUCGAAAACUGUUGUGGGUGCAAGCCUACCGUGGGUUCGAAUCCCACCCUCUCCGCCA